RNAcentral lists this ribosomal RNA (545 nucleotides) under uncultured bacterium. Its description in RNAcentral is "bacterial SSU rRNA". It matches the Rfam family "Bacterial small subunit ribosomal RNA", at positions 386 to 920 of the family's 1533-position model. The record is from RNAcentral.
AUCCAGCCAUGCCGCGUGAGUGAAGAAGGCCUUCGGGUUGUAAAGCUCUUUCGGCCGGGACGAAAUCGCACGGGGCUAAUAUCCUGUGUGGAUGACGGUACCGGAAUAAGAAGCACCGGCUAACUACGUGCCAGCAGCCGCGGUAAUACGUAGGGUGCGAGCGUUAAUCGGAAUUACUGGGCGUAAAGCGUGCGCAGGCGGUUUGAUAAGACAGGCGUGAAAUCCCCGGGGCUUAACCUGGGAACUGCGCUUGUGACUGUCUCACUAGAGUACGGCAGAGGGGGGUGGAAUUCCACGUGUAGCAGUGAAAUGCGUAGAGAUGUGGAGGAACACCGAUGGCGAAGGCAGCCCCCUGGGCCGAUACUGACGCUCAUGCACGAAAGCGUGGGGAGCAAACAGGAUUAGAUACCCUGGUAGUCCACGCCCUAAACGAUGUCAACUAGGUGUUGGGUGGGUAAAACCAUUUAGUACCGGAGCUAACGCGUGAAGUUGACCGCCUGGGGAGUACGGCCGCAAGGUUAAAACUCAAAGGAAUUGACGGGGAC